This 422-nucleotide ribosomal RNA is filed under the name uncultured archaeon. RNAcentral's name for it is "partial 16S ribosomal RNA". It matches the Rfam family "Archaeal small subunit ribosomal RNA", at positions 323 to 746 of the family's 1478-position model. The record is from RNAcentral.
CUACGGGCUGCUGCAGGCGCGAAAACUUUACAAUGCACGCAAGUGUGAUAAGGGGAUCCCAAGUGCUCAAGCAUUGCUUGGGCUUUUGCUAAGUGUAAAUAGCUUGGCGAAUAAGUGGUGGGUAAGACUGGUGCCAGCCGCCGCGGUAACACCAGCGCCACAAGUGGCAAUCGCGUUUAUUGGGCCUAAAGCGUCCGUAGCAGGUUUUGUAAAUCUCUUGUGAAAUUGCCAGGCUUAACUUGGCAGUGUGCAGGGGAAACUGCAAGGCUUGAGACCGGGAAGGGUUAGAGGUAUUCCUGAGGGAGCGGUAAAAUGCUAUAAUCUCAGGAGGACCACCUGUGGCGAAGGCGUCUAACUGGAACGGAUCUGACUGUGAGGGACGAAAGCUAGGGGAGCAAACCGGAUUAGAUACCCGAGUAGUC